Molecule: long non-coding RNA, 202 nt
Filed under: Amborella trichopoda
Lineage: Eukaryota; Viridiplantae; Streptophyta; Magnoliopsida; Amborellales; Amborellaceae
Description: long non-coding RNA (ATRI_LNC003515)
Source: RNAcentral
UUUUUAGCCCAAUUAACAUAGGCCAUUCAUUUUGGUGAGAUGCUUAAAUCUAGGCCUUAGAAGGAUUUUUUCAUUUCCAAUUUUUUUGGAUGGUUUUAUUAUCAUUAGAUGAACAAUGUUAAAAAAAAAAAAAAUGAUUUUGAGUUUAUAAAGGCUAAGAUCUUGAAAUUCACAAAAUGAAUGGUCUAGAUUUGUUUUUGGA